RNAcentral lists this ribosomal RNA (253 nucleotides) under uncultured bacterium. RNAcentral's name for it is "partial 16S ribosomal RNA". It matches the Rfam family "Bacterial small subunit ribosomal RNA", at positions 524 to 776 of the family's 1533-position model. The record is from RNAcentral.
GACGAAGGAUGCAAGCGUUAUCCGGAUUCAUUGGGUUUAAAGGGAGCGUAGGUGGCCUUGUAAGUCAGUGGUGAAAUCCUGUCGCUUAACGAUAGAAUUGCCAUUGAUACUGCAGGGCUUGAGUACAGUUGCCGUUGGCGGAAUAUGACAUGUAGUGGUGAAAUACAUAGAUACCAUAAAGAACACCUAUUGCGAAGGCAGCUUACUAGGCUGUAACUGACGCUGAGGCACGAAAGUGUGGGGAUCAAACAGG